RNAcentral lists this ribosomal RNA (159 nucleotides) under Fomitiporia mediterranea. Its description in RNAcentral is "5.8S ribosomal RNA". It matches the Rfam family "5.8S ribosomal RNA". Rfam says of the family: 5.8S ribosomal RNA (5.8S rRNA) is a component of the large subunit of the eukaryotic ribosome. It is transcribed by RNA polymerase I as part of the 45S precursor that also contains 18S and 28S rRNA. Functionally, it is thought that 5.8S rRNA may be involved in ribosome translocation. The record is from RNAcentral. Lineage: Eukaryota; Fungi; Basidiomycota; Agaricomycetes; Hymenochaetales; Hymenochaetaceae.
UACAACUUUCAACAACGGAUCUCUUGGCUCUCGCAUCGAUGAAGAACGCAGCGAAAUGCGAUAAGUAAUGUGAAUUGCAGAAUUCAGUGAAUCAUCGAAUCUUUGAACGCACCUUGCGCCCCUUGGUAUUCCGAGGGGCAUGCCUGUUUGAGUGUCAUG